Molecule: unclassified non-coding RNA, 484 nt
Filed under: rhizosphere metagenome
Description: partial ribosomal RNA internal transcribed spacer region
Source: RNAcentral
GUAGGUGAACCUGCGGAAGGAUCAUUAACACGUAUCCACGUUGAAUCACCGCGAAUUCUUAGGGUAGGCUUACUUGAGAAAAGGCCUAACUCUGAGGACCAAACAAAAGUGUGUCCAGAAAAAGCCAAACCACGGAUCUGCUCUUCGGAAUAGAAUCUGGGGGAGGACUUAGUAUGAGGAGGGACAUUGGGUGAGGUCAAUCGACUCAACAAAGUGUUUCCAGCAAAAUCCUACUUCGGUGGGAAUUUGUCUGGAGAUGCGGCGAGGAGGUCUUGGCAGCACCCAGCGACCCUGCUCAGAAGGGCCAUACCCCGGAAUCUGUACUGGGAAUGGAACUUUGGGGAAGCUUCAUCUGGAUGUGCCAGAGUGAGGUCUUUGGAGUGAAGCUCUGCUCGAACUCGACUUAGCGGUUGAGUUAGGGCUAUGCCCCUUUCAGGGACAAAUCUUCGGAGGCGUCUCUGAUCGGGGAAUUGUCUUGGUUCUG